GCAAGCUGGAGGCGAUUAGGAGGUGUUUCUACAUCUUUUAUGGCGCUAAGUAAUUAAUUAAGUGUUUAUGCGGUGAGUGGACAGGGAGAUUUGUUGGUUGCACCUCGAUUAAUUCGAUAAUUUAUGCAAGUAAUCGAUUGGCUAAGAAGUCUCUGGCAUAAGUCUAUUAAUUAUGUCUCUGAUUUGCAAGUGGAGCUAGUCUCAGGUAGUUUGGCAAUAGCUUCACUUCCAGCAAUAGACUUCUGUUCCAAAAAAAACCCCCAUGAAUCAGAGCUCGUCAAGAUAGCAAGAUCGUCAAGAGUUUCCCGUUCGCCCACAAUCCCAGAUAAUGGGGACUCCAGUUCCAUAUUUGUGAAAGACAAUCGGCAGACAGGGAACGUGUCUAAUUGGCAGAUUCAAAAACACACAACAAAGAAAAUAACAUAAUACGGGGAAAUGGUAAACCAAUUUGAAGUGGUUGGCUCCGAACCAAAACUAAUGAAAUGCAUAACGCAAAUGGAUUUAUCAGAGUCGGUUGGGGCCGGCCCAGCUGGAGAUCCAAAGAAGGGCGCCGACCAACCGAAUAGGAUUCUUCUAAUUAAGCGCCCGCUUCUGCAGAUGCCCAAAGAUAGCUUCCGGUGAUUAAAUGUCAGAAACAAGACCAAGCCACCGGGGCCAGCAGAGAACUACGCAUAAACACGAAGCCCCAGGGAAGGGAAAACAAAGCCAAACAAACCAUAGAGGUGGGAACAAUUUCUACGCAACUCACGGCCCGGCCCAUCUCAGCUUUCUUUAUGCUUUUAUGGCUUUUCCCCCACUAAUUUAGUUGGAUCUUGGACCAGGCCGAAUGCAAAUGGGGCAAUGGACAGUGUUUCAGAGGCUGUACAUUCGAAAAAAUAAUAGAAGUUGGCUUAAAGUUAAAGGGUUUUGAAAAUAUUUGAAUACUAAUACUAUAUUAUAGUAAUUUAAGAAGAGAAUUUUGUAUAAUUAAUAGAUAUUUAGUAACUUG
Drosophila ananassae is the source of this 988-nucleotide long non-coding RNA. RefSeq lists it as uncharacterized. The record is from RefSeq and is a predicted model, not a curated record. The transcript is spliced from 2 exons. Lineage: Eukaryota; Metazoa; Arthropoda; Insecta; Diptera; Drosophilidae.